Molecule: long non-coding RNA, 2216 nt
Organism: Taeniopygia guttata (zebra finch)
Lineage: Eukaryota; Metazoa; Chordata; Aves; Passeriformes; Estrildidae
Source: Ensembl
UGUUAUGAACAAAACAGCCUGGCUGGGACACUUGGCUUGGGCUAAAGGACCAGACUGGACUGGGCUGUGGGAAGCAGGAGCAAAGCACACACACACUUCCUGGUGCUGCCAGGAGGGAAGGAGAGGGACAGCUGCCGCUGGACUUCGGCAGCAGGCUCUGCACAUCCCCUCACCCUGCGGCCACCAGUGUGCCAGGAGGAAAGGAGAGAGGACGGUCUGCUGGGACUUCAGAUACGGACUGCACACCUCUUCACCUCCAGCUACCAGCGUGCCAUGGAGACUCCAGGGACAGACUCUGCACGCCUGCUCACCCUUCGGCUACGGGAGAAGCUAUAACAGCGGGGGUGAGCUCCUUGUUGAGCCCCCUGCCGAGCUGACUUUUAAUAAAGAGCUGACUAUUAAUAAAGGCAUAGACCCUGUUCAUUUCAAUUUCGGGGCUCGUCCGGGAUAGCCACGCCCGAAGAGGAACCCUGGACAGCUGGACAGCGCGACCAUCUGCUUCGAGGGACCCUCGGGAUUUGCUGGCUACCGGACCCUAGGAUCAGCGUGAGACGGGCCACGCGGAGGAGCAACGCGGAGAAGCAACGCGGAGGGAUGACGGAUUGGUGAGAAAAACUGGGAGGCGAGCGAGUGAGUGAAUGAGUGAGACGGGGGCCGGCAGCUCGGACCCCCGAAGUGAGAGGGACCCCUAGUACUGCGUUUUCGGACUCCUGCGAAGGGGUUGGCCGGGAACGGGGGGAAGCGAGUGGAACAGAGAGACUGAGGCCUCUCCUUAGAGGUAAAGGCCCUCCUCUGGGCAUGUGGAGAUUCUCUAGGGAUAAAGUAAGUCCCUGGUAAUCAGGGCAAGAGAGUUGUCCACAGCAGGGCAGGUGGGAUGUCCCUGGCAGGAAGGGGGCAUGUCCUGGCAGAUAGGGCAUAGGUCCUGGCAAGAAGAGGGCAUGUCCUGGCAGGCAGGGAGCAUGCCCUAACAGGCAGGGGGCAUGUCCUAGCAGGCAGGGGCAUGUCCUGGGAAGAAGAGGGCAUGUCCUGGCAGGCAGGCUGGGGGCAUGUCCUGGCAGGCAGCAGGCAUGUCCUGGGAGACAGAGGGCAUGUCCUGGGAGACAGAGGGCAUGUCCGUGGUAGGCAGAACAGGAUAAAUGGGCAUGUGAGAUGUCCCUAGAAGGCAGGGCAGGAUGUCCUUGCAGAGCAGGUAGAGGGCAUGUCCUGGCAGGCAGGGUUAUGUCCUGGCAAGCAGGAGGCAUGUCCUAGUAGGCAGAGGGCAUGCCCUAACAGGCAAGGGAGCAUGUCCUAGCAGGCAGGGGCAUGUCCUGGGAAGGAGAGGACAUAGGUCCUGGCAAGGGAGGGCAUGUCCUGGCAGGCAGGGGGCAUGUCCUGGGAGACAGGGGGCAUGUCCUAACAGGCAGGAGGCAGGUCCUGGCAGGUAGGGCAUGUCCUAACAAGAGGGGGGAAUGUCCUGGCAGGCAGGGGGCAGGUCCUGGAAGGCAGGGUACAUGUUCUGGCUAGCAGGGCCAGGUCCUGGCAGGCAGGGGGCAGGUCCUGACAGCAGGAUCAUGUCCUGGCAGGUAGGGCCAGGCCCUGGCAGACAGGGGGCAGGUCCUGGCAGGUAGGGCAGUUGAUAACAGGCAAAGGACAGGUCCUGGCAAGAAGGGGGCGUGUCCUGGCAGACAGGGGGAAUGUCCUGGCAGGCAGGGAGUAGGUCUUGGCAGGCAGGGUACAUGUUCUGGCAGACAGGAGGCAUGUCGGGGAAGACAGAGUAAGUAAGCAAGUAAGGAAGCGAGUAGAAAGGCAAGCAGGCUAAGCCUAGUAGGAGAGUCAGGCGAAGGGACUUGGCCGGAGUUCGAGUGUAAGGCUCAGCAGGAUGUUCGACCUUACCUCGGCAGGGAGACCAAGCUUCCUAAGCUUAGUAAGGAGGUUGGGCAAAAGGCCAAAUAAAGAACUGGGGCGAGACCUACCUAGGGUCCAAGCCUAGAAAGUCCAUCAAGAAGUCCAGAAAGAACAGGAAAAAAAAAGACAAUAUAUGUGAGUGUGAUUAGUGGCUAUCCUGGGCAAGAAACAGGAAUAAAUGCCAGGAGUGGAAGCUUAGCUAGAAAAAAAUGAAAUUCAGUCAAGAGAUUUAAAAUACUAAGGUUUGGGAAGGAGCCAGAUGAACUUUAGUUGCAUAUCAGAAUAUUCCAUUUUAGAGAGAGACAUAUUCUAAGGUAUAUAUUUUUUUUUUC